CCUACGGGUGGCAGCAGUGAGGAAUAUUGGUCAAUGGACGAGAGUCUGAACCAGCCAAGUAGCGUGAAGGAUGACUGCCCUAUGGGUUGUAAACUUCUUUUAUAAAGGAAUAAAACGAGGCACGUGUGCCUUUUUGCAUGUACUUUAUGAAUAAGGAUCGGCUAACUCCGUGCCAGCAGCCGCGGUAAUACGGAGGAUCCGAGCGUUAUCCGGAUUUAUUGGGUUUAAAGGGAGCGUAGAUGGGUUGUUAAGUCAGUUGUGAAAGUUUGCGGCUCAACCGUAAAAUUGCAAUUGAUACUGGCAGUCGUGAGUACAGUUGAGGUAGACGGAAUUCGUGGUGUAGCGGUGAAAUGCUUAGAUAUCACGAAGAACCCCGAUUGCGAAGGCAGCUUACUAAACUGUGACUGACAUUGAUGCUCGAAAGUGUGGGUAUCAAACAGGAUUAGAUACCCUUGUAGUC
This 460-nucleotide ribosomal RNA is filed under the name uncultured bacterium. RNAcentral describes it as "partial 16S ribosomal RNA". It matches the Rfam family "Bacterial small subunit ribosomal RNA", at positions 338 to 795 of the family's 1533-position model. The record is from RNAcentral.